Long non-coding RNA from Rosa chinensis, 538 nucleotides. RefSeq lists it as uncharacterized. Lineage: Eukaryota; Viridiplantae; Streptophyta; Magnoliopsida; Rosales; Rosaceae. The record is from RefSeq and is a predicted model, not a curated record. The transcript is spliced from 3 exons.
GACUUUUUUUCACUUGUCUGAAACUUUUGAACCCUAAUUACUAACUCUCACUUCAACUCCAGCGCGCCUCCUUCUUCGCGUCGACCUCAUUCUCCAACCUGACCCUCCUUCCCCUCCAUCUCCACCUCCGACCAUCACCUCUCUCUCUUCUCCUUCUCUCUUGCUCCCUUGUCUUUCCAAACCCUACUCUCUCUCUCUCUCUAAAAUGCUCUCCGUCUCUAUCUAAAAUUGACGAAGAUGAAGUCUCUGUAGCUGCGCCAAAAUUUCUUAGGGGAGACGAUGGAGCCGCCCCAGUUGCCAAACCCUAGUCCGGCAGGCCUCGGUGAAAGCAUAAAGCCUCCAACGAGAACGCUUCUCCAUCUUCAGAUCUCAUCUUUACGGCCCUGGAUUCGAAGCCUUCGUCGGCGGCCAAGUUGAAUAGUCUGUUGCCGCCAUGGCCACGGCCAUUAAAUCCUCUCAAACGGAAGCUUGAGAUGCUUCCUGAGAACUCCGCCCAUGGAGCCUCUGAUUCCGGCGUCCCGAGCAAAUCAAGCAGAGA